CGGCCCUAAACCAACUCGGUCCGCAACAAAAAAGAAAUCACUUUAGAUUGUUUAGUUGAUGAACAUCCAGCGGUAGAUCACAUAUACUAAAAAUAAUUGAAAAGAUCUGUAUGUUUUAUUAUCUUUGUUAAGAUGAGAUGUUGUGAUUAAUACAACAGGGUCAGGGACCAUCAACCGCGGACACUUUUUGAACAUUUUUCUGUACAGGUUUCAUAAGUUUUAACCUAGAGACCAAAAAAAUUGACAAGGUUCAGCUAGGUUCUUCCCCUAACUAACAAACUUGUUUGUCUGAUUGUAUUGACACUUAUAUCUGAGGCUCGACAAGGAGGUAUCAAAAUUACCUCAAUUGUCUACACUACAGCACCAUGUGUCCGGACAUUUAUGUACAUGACGUUAUUUAAUUCAGAUAACAGCUUGGGUGUUUUAAUUUUUAACAUGAUAGACAAUGAUUCAGAAACAAAUGCUGAAGUUUUGGAAAUUCUAUUGUUUACUCUGCAAAUGAUUAUAGAUGGUAUAUGAGGUCAGGCAUUGUUUUCUUGACCCCCCAAAUUUCAACGUCAACAUUCUUGAAAUAGCCAUUAAAAUUAUAUUACCAUUUACGGUGGUUGAAAUAAAUUUAUUUAUUUAUUUUUAGAAGAAACAUGCAUUUAUUGUUGAUAAAAAAGUGACAACCACUGAACAAAGAAAAUACUAAAUUAAGCAUUUUCAGGGCCGUCCGGGUUUGGUGGUUGUCCGGUUUUGGUGGUCCCCAACCAGUAGCCUAAACAUUUAUGAACUGUAAAUUCUUCCCUCACACACUUUCAUCAAUAACAAUUUCAAUUAGAAAAGGUAUAUAAAUUAUGACAUGAAAACGUAAAACAAUGAAAGGUAUGAACACAUGAAACAAAGAUAAUUCAACAUAGAGCAACAAAACUAGUUCCACUGAGGAAUACCGUACCGCCGGUAAGGCCCCCACGGUUACACUUUUAAACGGAUUCGUUUCGAUUUUCAUUCAUAAACGGUUAUGAUAUUUUUUACCGUUUAUUCGAGAUGACCAUAUUGUCUUACAAAUUAUCUUAAUAAUUUCCUGUAAUCAUGGAUUUUAUCUAUACUAAUUGGUUUAUCAAAGUAAAAAAUGGAAAAUGGGUGUUUACAACCCGGACCACACACCAUCACCGUGCAAUAAUCGCUUGUGACAUAAUUCAUUUUUGUUAAAGUUGAUUUUUCUUUGAUCUUUUAAAUAACGAAAUGCGGAUACAAUGCAGAAAAUGUGUGCCGCCUAAAUCGUGAUGAGCACUGAACAUUAUUUACUUGUAUAGAAAGUAAGUCAUCAUUUGGCGACUCGAAUACAUGGUAUAGUAUAGUGCAUAGAAGUACCACCGUUUAAACGGUAUCGAUUCGGUUCUUAGCAAUCAUGUAAAGGUUUACAAAAAAUUGUAAACGUGGGAGCCUUUACCGCCGGAUAUUGCUCGAUAUUACGAGGACUUUCAUCCCAUUUCAAGACUAUGAACAAAGGUAAAUUCAAGGCCAUCAAAAAGGCUGUAUGAAUCGGAUAGUGACACUGAUGAGAAUGAGACAGACACCGAGAGUAGGCCAUCACAAGUUAUUGACAAAGCAACAACGCCAAACAGGCACGAAGCCUGCUUUCACCUCCGCCUUGCUUAUCUGCACAGGCAUUGCGAGAGGCCAGAAGUGAUGUGCAAAGACUGCUUCUCUAAUACAAGGUGCUUCUGAUACGCCCUCCCGUGGGCAGAUUAUUGGGCCCACUGCUGUUACACAGAUUCUCUGAGUCUUGGAGACAAUGCGGGAGGAGAAUCGUGAAAUUAAGAGGAUGAUGUAGCAAUUGUUGUCAAGGUCAGCAGCAGAUGACCAACCGCUGCAGCUUCCUGAAGAUAUCUCAUUCCCUAUUCGUUCUCCAUAGCAGAUGGAAACAUUCGAUGAGCUUCUGGGAGAUCAGACAAAGCUGUCAUCUGUGGUGCGGUUCCUCUCAAUGUUUGGUGGGGCAGUUGUGCGGGAAACUGUUGACCGCUAGAUGAAAGAAACCAUGUCAAAUGAACUGGCAAGAAUGUACAAUAUGAAGGGGCUGAAAGGGAAGAAAACAUUUGGGGGCCUCUAGAUACUGAAUGUAUUGUAUAAAUGUGUCCAAAGGAACUUGCCGGCAAAGACUGCGACGAGGAAGGAUAUUGAAAUAAAGGUUUCAAAGUGGCUGGCUGGGGCGUGGGACCGCGAUGGGGGAAGGAAAGCAAGAAACAAAGUGUCCGAGACCUUACCUGAAGCAAAUGAAGGAAGUGACUAGACAUGUUUUUAUUUUUAAAAAAUGCAAAUCUAUAGAGGAUAUUUGUUUGUUAGUGUGUAAGAUGAAAUUUUAUAUCAUCAAGUGAGCUGUAAAAACAUUAUUCUCACGAGUGAGAACACUGUUAUUUAAAAGUCCCUCAAUGAUAUAAAAUUACAUCUUACACAACAAACAAUAAAGUGUCUUUUUAUUUUAUGCUAAUGAAAUUUCCUCAAUAUUAACUUUAAUAAUAAUAUUAUUAAAUCUGUUUUCCCCACUGUUAACAUCAAUUUUAGUUGAAUUUAAGUCCAAUUAUUCAUAAAUACAGGAGUCUUGGGCUUAACAAAAAGUUUGACAAUCAACGUUGAAUAGCAAUGAUUUUAUUUAUUUUAUUAAAAAAAUAUGAAUAAUCGCUUGUUUUAAUAAUAAAAACAACCAAUUCUAGAAUAAAAAGUCACACCAUCCCACCUUAUUUCUGUUACUCAGGCAAUUUAUGUAUGACCUGGCUUUGUGAAAUGUAAGUGGCGGCCAUUUUUAAAAGUUUUGUAUUUUAAGGAAAAUUAAUUUGGUUUUAUUCAGAGGAAUAUUAUUUGGAUAGGUUAGUCUUGAAACAGUCCUGAGAAUGUCAGAAUUGUAAGCAAAAAUGAUAUUAAGGUACCACAUGGGGAAAAUCUUUAAAAAGUAGUCUCGUCAUUGAAAAGUUUGAAAUUUGGAUCAUUUUCACUGUGAAAUUAUCAAAUAUAAUUUUCACGGAUACAUCAGUAAUACACACAAAAGCAUAAAAUGAAUGACUUUUAUUUUACAUUUUCGAACCUUUUCUUCAUCGGCAUAUAAGUUAUUCCAAUGAUUGAAAGUCAAUAGAUAUCAAAGUAUUUUAAAAUGUGAUCAGAACUACAGUAAGUGGCUCAUUUGUGUGUCUUGUUAUACUUUUUGUUGCUAAUUUUAAUGUUUGAGGUCAUCAGCAUAGCAUGUCUUUCUUGUAAAUGAAAAAAUCUUUGCCUUCUAGUCAGUUUAUUUUGCUGCUAUGUAAUGUUUGUUGUUGACAUUAUAUGCUGUUUUUUCUGUUGUCUAUAUGCUGUUGUUAUUUUUUUUUCAUUAAACAUUGUUGCUAUUUAAAUCAAGACAUUAAAUGCUUGGGGAAUGUUUUUGAUACUGAUCAAUACAAUUAUAACAUCUUGUCCAAACUUAACACUAACAGGGAACACAUAUAUAGAUAUGGUAUUAACCUUUUAAAUCAAGUUGAAAUACUUUACAAUGAUGCUUCUUGUAAUCUUUAUUUUUGUUAUUGUUGAAACUUUGAUAAUACCGGUAUUGGAUAAAUUACUGAAACAACUAUUGUUACUGACAAUUUUUUAAAUGAACUUCUUCACAACAAAUUUGAUCUUGUUAAAUCAGUAUUAUUUCACAUUUUUUAAAGGAAUAUAUCCAUAAAUAAUUACUGUUCUGUGAUAUAUAGGAUAAUUGUUAAUUUCGGUGUAAUAUCACAUUUUAUUUAUAAUUAAUUUCACAGAGUGGAUACCUGAAGUGUUGUUCACAAAGUGGCGCAGCCAUGUUGUUCACAAAGUGGCGCAGCCAUGAGUGAAAAUAACAACUUUUGGUAUUCAGAAGUGAACUUAUCAUGAUAUUUACAUUGAUACAGUAUACAUGUAUGUGUUUACUUUAUGUCUAAAACUCCACUAAUGUUUGGUUCCUUUCAAUAAAAGGUUGAAAUAUGCGAGAAACUUUUUAUCAGGAAGCAUCGCAAAGAUGAAGUCAUUUUAUUGACGUUGUUGUCAUAUUUUUUUUCCGAAUUUCAGUAUACUUGGUUAACUUUUUUGAUAUUUAUAUAGUUAUCAAAUUCGAUAAUUUUUUUCACAAAGUGGCUAGUGAGUCAGGAUAGAAUUCAACGUUAACUUCCAUAAACCAUUGAAAAUUGAUAAAAGAUUAAUGAAAUUCUUAUUGAGAAUGAUAUUAGCACAUAGAAAACUGAUCCAAACAGUAACGUUUCACAAAAGGUUACUAUAACUAUUGAUAUUAACAAUUGAAAUGCAUUAAAUUGUAAAUACUAUUGUUAUUUCUUGCCUUUAUUGUGGUUUUUGUUGAUGAAGAUAUGAGAAAUGAAGCUGGUUAUUUUUACAAACUGGUACAAACUAUUUGUUACUUUUCAUCAGCUGCAUAUUUUUUUUACACGUCUAUAAACAGUAUUUCUAUGUGCCAAGGUUUUG
Molecule: long non-coding RNA, 4455 nt
Organism: Ruditapes philippinarum (Manila clam)
Lineage: Eukaryota; Metazoa; Mollusca; Bivalvia; Venerida; Veneridae
Exons: 5
Source: RefSeq, a predicted model, not a curated record